GAUGAACGCUGGCGGCGUGCCUAAUACAUGCAAGUCGAGCGAACGGACGAGAAGCUUGCUUCUCUGAUGUUAGCGGCGGACGGGUGAGUAACACGUGGAUAACCUACCUAUAAGACUGGGAUAACUUCGGGAAACCGGAGCUAAUACCGGAUAAUAUUUUGAACCGCAUGGUUCAAAAGUGAAAGACGGUCUUGCUGUCACUUAUAGAUGGAUCCGCGCUGCAUUAGCUAGUUGGUAAGGUAACGGCUUACCAAGGCAACGAUGCAUAGCCGACCUGAGAGGGUGAUCGGCCGCAGUGGAACUGAGACACGGUCCAGACUCCUACGGGAGGCAGCAGUAGGGAAUCUUCCGCAAUGGGCGAAAGCCUGACGGAGCAACGCCGCGUGAGUGAUGAAGGUCUUCGGAUCGUAAAACUCUGUUAUUAGGGAAGAACAUAUGUGUAAGUAACUGUGCACAUCUUGACGGUACCUAAUCAGAAAGCCACGGCUAACUACGUG
This 497-nucleotide ribosomal RNA is filed under the name uncultured bacterium. Its description in RNAcentral is "partial 16S ribosomal RNA". It matches the Rfam family "Bacterial small subunit ribosomal RNA", at positions 28 to 507 of the family's 1533-position model. The record is from RNAcentral.